ACGCUCACUUUGGCAGCACAUUUACUAAAACUGGAAUGAUACAGAGAAGAUUAGUAUGGUCCCUGAGCAAGGAUGGAUGAGGAUUCAUGAAGCAUUCCAUAUUUUU
This is a small nuclear RNA of Bubalus bubalis (water buffalo), 106 nucleotides long. The record is from RefSeq and is a predicted model, not a curated record. NCBI's taxonomy places the organism in Eukaryota, Metazoa, Chordata, Mammalia, Artiodactyla, Bovidae.